This 821-nucleotide ribosomal RNA is filed under the name Streptomyces flavogriseus. RNAcentral describes it as "bacterial SSU rRNA". It matches the Rfam family "Bacterial small subunit ribosomal RNA", at positions 67 to 903 of the family's 1533-position model. Lineage: Bacteria; Bacillati; Actinomycetota; Actinomycetes; Kitasatosporales; Streptomycetaceae. The record is from RNAcentral.
CGAUGAAGCCCUUCGGGGUGGAUUAGUGGCGAACGGGUGAGUAACACGUGGGCAAUCUGCCCUUCACUCUGGGACAAGCCCUGGAAACGGGGUCUAAUACCGGAUAACACUCUGUCCCGCAUGGGACGGGGUUAAAAGCUCCGGCGGUGAAGGAUGAGCCCGCGGCCUAUCAGCUUGUUGGUGGGGUGAUGGCCUACCAAGGCGACGACGGGUAGCCGGCCUGAGAGGGCGACCGGCCACACUGGGACUGAGACACGGCCCAGACUCCUACGGGAGGCAGCAGUGGGGAAUAUUGCACAAUGGGCGAAAGCCUGAUGCAGCGACGCCGCGUGAGGGAUGACGGCCUUCGGGUUGUAAACCUCUUUCAGCAGGGAAGAAGCGAAAGUGACGGUACCUGCAGAAGAAGCGCCGGCUAACUACGUGCCAGCAGCCGCGGUAAUACGUAGGGCGCAAGCGUUGUCCGGAAUUAUUGGGCGUAAAGAGCUCGUAGGCGGCUUGUCACGUCGGAUGUGAAAGCCCGGGGCUUAACCCCGGGUCUGCAUUCGAUACGGGCUAGCUAGAGUGUGGUAGGGGAGAUCGGAAUUCCUGGUGUAGCGGUGAAAUGCGCAGAUAUCAGGAGGAACACCGGUGGCGAAGGCGGAUCUCUGGGCCAUUACUGACGCUGAGGAGCGAAAGCGUGGGGAGCGAACAGGAUUAGAUACCCUGGUAGUCCACGCCGUAAACGUUGGGAACUAGGUGUUGGCGACAUUCCACGUCGUCGGUGCCGCAGCUAACGCAUUAAGUUCCCCGCCUGGGGAGUACGGCCGCAAGGCUAAAACUCA